CCUACGGGAGGCAGCAGUGGGGAAUAUUGGACAAUGGGCGAAAGCCUGAUCCAGCAAUGCCGCGUGAGUGAUGAAGGCCUUAGGGUUGUAAAGCUCUUUUACCAGGGAUGAUAAUGACAGUACCUGGAGAAUAAGCUCCGGCUAACUCCGUGCCAGCAGCCGCGGUAAUACGGAGGGAGCUAGCGUUGUUCGGAAUUACUGGGCGUAAAGCGUACGUAGGCGGUUAUUCAAGUCAGAGGUGAAAGCCUGGAGCUCAACUCCAGAACUGCCUUUGAAACUAGAUAGCUAGAAUCUUGGAGAGGUGAGUGGAAUUCCGAGUGUAGAGGUGAAAUUCGUAGAUAUUCGGAAGAACACCAGUGGCGAAGGCGACUCACUGGACAAGUAUUGACGCUGAGGUACGAAAGCGUGGGGAGCAAACAGGAUUAGAUACCCUGGUAGUCCACGCCGUAAACGAUGAUAACUAGCUGUUCGGGCUCUACGAGCUUGAGUGGCGCAGCUAACGCAUUAAGUUAUCCGCCUGGGGAGUACGGUCGCAAGAUUAAAACUUAAAGGAAUUGACGG
Molecule: ribosomal RNA, 561 nt
Filed under: uncultured bacterium
Lineage: Bacteria
Description: bacterial SSU rRNA
Rfam family: Bacterial small subunit ribosomal RNA
Source: RNAcentral